CAGGAAAGUAGGUUUUGAGGUGUGCCAAUUCCAAAAAGGGGGGUUCAACCUGGUCAACUGGUUUUGAUCUUUAGAAUUUCGUUUCCACCAGCAGCAACUUUCUAUUCAAUUAAAAUGUAAUUACUUAGGUUUUUAGGAAAAAUGUGUAUUUUGGACUGUUUGUAACCUAUUGGAUUAAAAUCUUCUUAUGUAAUUACCUUUUUAAGCAUUCAAACCUUAUCUCAAUAUUUUAAUUAUGCUAAUCAAUUAAAGCAUUUUGAACUUUGUCCUUCUAUUUCAAUUGGAAACCUACUUGGACCACCAUGAGCAUCCAACCAAAAGUUGCCUCUAGCAUGUUAUUAUUUAACAAAAUACAACCGUGACCAAAAAUUUAAAAUGAAACAUGUCAAUGCAAUUUUAACUCUAUAAACAACCCACUUUCAACUUUGGCACAAAGAAACCAAAUGGGGUGACUUGAUUUAAAACAACAUAAUUUGAACUUUGGCACAAAUAAGCCAAAUAUGGUGACUUGAUCUAAGACAACAUAAUUUCAACUUCAACACAUGAGUCUAAAUAUGGUGCUUUGAUUUAAGACCGACACAUACAUGCCUACAAAAAAUGAAAAUUUAAUUUAGGGACCUAUGAAGAACUUAGAAUUUGGCAUAAAUAUCUGGAAUGUGCAAAUGGACUAAUAAUAAGUGAACAUAAAAAUAAUAACAUGGCUCUUAAUACUUACUAAUAAGAAAGUAGAUUUUGGAUUAGUAAUGUAAAAGAUUCAAACCAUAUUUUAAAUUAUGGACACACUUAUGCAAAUGGGCCUUUAAAACAAAAGAGAUCUCAUGGGUACACCACAAUGGGCUUUGUUAUCCAAAAAUACACAUACCAUCCCAUGCUUCAGUAAAAACCAAUACAACAUAUAUUUUUUAAAAGAUCUUAACAGAUGAAAAAUGUCUUUGAAGACUUGUUGUCACCAAGGGGCUGAGAAACCUCAAGAGGAGGCUUAUGUCUUAAGAUAAGAUACAUGUCUUAUAGCAUUGGGUAGUAAAUGUUGGUUGUAGGUUUUUUACCCGGACAAAAUUGGGGUAUGACAGCUGCCCCUAUUUAAUUACCUCAAACCGGAAAGUAAGAAUGACGGCAGUCUUCGUUCAUUCGCGGUGAGAGAUAAUUAAAUACAAGAAGACCCAAAUUUUGUCUUAGGAAAUGCAAGGAAGAAAAAUGUAUAUAUAAAAAAUAUGGUGAAAAAAUGGCAAAAGACAUUAUCCCACAGUAAAAUGGAACAAUCAAGACUUUCUGUGAGUCAUCAUAACAGUAUCUCAGACAUCUCAGUCGAGACAUGUGGAGUGACAUUCCUAGCUAAACCUCAAGACUUUCCAGGAUAUUAGAGCGGUGUCUCUAAAAGAAACUGAAAUGAGACUCUUCAUAUUGAUGAAGCAGUAUCUCAAACAGUAAGAAUGGGAUUCUCCGUAUCGGGUCGAAACAACAUCUUAUAUGAUAGAAUUAAGAUAUUCCGAACAAGGGAAUGAUACCUUAAUUGAAUCUAAGAUUCUUCGAGGAUAUUAGAGCAGUAUCUCUAAAAAAAUCUGAAAUGAGACUCUUCAUAUUGAUGAAGCAGCAUCUCAAACAGUAAAAGUGAGAUUCUCUGUAUCGGGUCGAAACAACAUCUUAUUUGAUAGAAUUAAGAUAUUCCAGCGAGGGAAAAAUACCUUAAUUGAAUCUAAGACUCUCCGAGGAUAUUAGAGCAGUAUCUCUAAAAAAAAUCUGAAAUGUGACUCUUCAUAUUGAUGAAGCAACAUCUCAAAUUGUAAGAAUGAGAUUCUCCGUAUCGGGUCGAAACAUCAUCUUAUAUGAUAGAAUUAAGAUAUUCCGAACAAGGGAAUGAUAUCUUAAUUGAAUCUAAGACUCUCCGAGGAUACUUAGAGUAGUAUCUCUAAAAAAUCUGAAAUGAGACUCUUCAUAUUGAUGAAGCAGCAUCUCAAACAGUAAGAAUGAGAUUCUCCGUAUCGGGUCGAAACAGCAUUUUAUAUGAUAGAAUUAAGAUAUUCCAGCGAGGGAAAAAAUACCUUAAUUGAAUCUAAGACUCUCCGAGGAUAUUAGAGCAGUAUUUCUAAAAAUCUGAAAUGAGACUCUUCAUAUUGAUGAAGCAGCAUCUCAAACAGUAAAAGUGAGAUUCUCUGUAUCGGGUCAAAACAACAUCUUAUAUGAUAGAAUUAAGAUAUUCCAGCAAGGGAAAAAUACCUUAAUCGAAUCUAAGACUCUUCGAGGAUACUUGAGCAGUAUCUCUAGAAAAUAAAUGAGAUUCUUCAAAUUGAUGAAGCAGUAUCUCAAACAGAUAAAUGAGAUUCUUCAGAUAAAUGAAGCAGUAUCUCGAAUAUUCGUCUGUUGGGGGAAUUUUUAAGAAAAUACUCCUUUUGAGGGAGAUUUACUAGAAAUGCUCUGCAGGGGAAAAGCUCAUAAGAGGCUUUUUAGGGUAACCUCUUCUUGGGGAAGCAAUGCUAGUAAAGAAGAUGUUGGGAAUAUAAUUAUUAAAAAAGUUGAAAAAUGAUUUGCUGAGAAAUAACCCUACGAGGCUAUGUAGGGUAAUAACUUCAUUUGGAAAUGAGGAAUGUCCGAGACAUAUACGAAUGACCUUGGAUCCUGAUAUUUUAUAUUUGAUUUUUGUAUAAUGCCCACUUUAGGUGGGAAUUCCAUGCAUGGGAUGAUGCAUGGGAUGUAUGCAAGUAUGCAAUUUUUCUGGGGAUAUUUGGUUGUGCAUGUAGGAAUGCGAAUGAUUUUUAUUUUGCUGAAAUUCCCAUUUUGUGGGAGUGUUAUGCAUGAGUAUGCUGAUGAUUGAUAUGACUGUGUUUUUUUUGAACUUUUGUUUGGUAGGAAAACCAUAUAUGGAUGAUCCGUGUGAUGCAUGUGGGAAUGCAACUGGGUAAUUGGAUAUGCCCCGGUUAAGACAUUUCGCUUUGAGGUAUGAUGCCAACAAUGUGGAUUUUUUAUCAUUGGGGCAAUCAAUGGAGAUCAAAUUUUAAUGCCCCUGCUAGGUGGGUUGCUCCAUCCAUGAUUUAUCAAUGUUUUUGUCGGAAAUGUGAUGGAGCCUUGCCCCGAUCUGGCUAUACCAUGAGUACAUUUAUGAGAGGUAUGAAUCAGUAGUUGAGAGGAACAUAACCGUCUGCAAUCAGUCCUACACCUUUAUGAAAUACAAGAAUGAAUCUUGGGAACUAAAGGAUUCGUCCGCUUACUGUUUCAAAAGCAAUUUUACCACUUUAUUCAAACAUGCAUUUUAUUUUCUCCAAUAGUUUUUAAAAGUGAUGUUUAUCAAAAAUAAAAGGUGCUAAACAAACAAAAUAAAAUAAAAAAUGAUUUGGGCACACUUUCGUUGAGAAAAAUUCUCUUUUAUUGAUUUGACCCUUAAAUGGGUGAUUGUACAUAAAGACGUCAUUCCUUAAUGAGGUAAUUGCGGUGCAUAGAAACAAAAUGGCAAUGAAAAUUGAGUUCUUAUUGAGUUUCCACACUGCUAUGAUCCUUAUGUCUUUGAUAGCUCGAGCACUUUGCUUUUGAAAAGUGAGGUAGAUCGAUUCUUUGUCUUCAAGGGUAUGUCAGAUGUCUUUAAAUACAACUUUUUGCCUUGGAAUUAAUCCCUAACUUUUGCCUGGACCGCCCUUUCGGGUUUUCGAUCCACCGGGAUACCCAUUUUUGCCUGAGUCGCCCUUUCAGGUUUUCAACUCAGCGAGUCAAAUUCUUUUGUUUUUAUCCCUAAUUUUUGCUUGGAUUUCCCUUUCGGGUUUUCGAUCCACCAGGAUAGCCAUUUUUGCUUAAAUCUCCCUUUCAGGUUUUCGAUUUAGCGUAUUUUAUUAUUCCACUUUUUUAGGAGAAGUACUUUUUAAUAGCAUCAGCGUUGGUGGGAAGCGGCAGCUCAUCACCAUCCAUAGUAGCUAGAAUCAGAGCGCCUCCAGAAAAGGCUCUAACCACCACAAAUGGACCUUCAUAAUUUGGCGCCCAUUUCCCUCUGGAGUCUUUGUGAAUGGGCAAGAUUUUCUUCAGCACUAAAUCUCCCUCUUGAAACACCCUGGGACGAACUUUCUUGUCGAAUGCCUUUUUAAGACGCCUCUGAUAGAGUUGACCAUGACCUAACACUUUCAAGCGUUUCUCCUCAAUAAGGUUGAGCUUGUCAUACCUUGAUUGAACCCAUUCCGCCUCGUGUAGCUUAGCCUCCAUUAGGACUCUCAUUGAGGGGAUCUCUACUUCUAUAGGGAGAACUGCUUCCAUACCGUAUACCAACGAAUAAGGAGUUGCCCCUGUUGAAGUUCGUAUCGACGUGUGAUAGCCAUGCAACGCAAAAGGUAACAUCUCGUGCCAAUCCUUGUACGUGACAACCAUCUUUUGGAUGAUUUUCUUGAUAUUUUUAUUUGCAGCUUCAACGGCCCCAUUCAUCUUGGGUCGAUAGGGUGAUGAGUUGUGAUGCUCGAUUUUGAACGUUGCACAUAACUCAUCCAUGGUUUUGUUGUUGAGAUUUGACCCAUUAUCAGUGAUGAUUUUGUUGGGAAUCCCAUAUCGACAUAUGAUGUUAUUUUUUAAGAAAUGGGCGACUACGUGCUUCGUGACGUUUGCAUAAGACGCGACUUCCACCCAUUUGGUAAAGUAAUCUAUGGCCACCAAGAUAAAUCUGUGUCCAUUUGAUGCUUUGGGUUCUAUCAUUCCAAUCAUGUCGAUGCCCCACCUAGAGAAAGGCCAAGGUGAUGCUAUGACGUUUAACGGAGUAGGUGGUACAUGUAUUUUGUCAGCAUAGAUUUGGCAUUUGUGGCAUGCUCUGGUGUAAUGAUAACAGUCAGCUUCCAUCGUCAACCAGUAGUAACCUGCCCUUAGGAUUUUCUUUGCCAUGGCAUGCCCAUUGGCGUCGUACCGAAAGACCCUUCAUGUAUGUCCCUCAUGAGCUGAUUAGCCUCGUGUUUGUCCACACACCUCAACAAGACCAUGUCGUAGUUUUGUUUGUACAAUACCUCUCCAUUCAAAAGGAACUUUGAUGCCAACCUCCAGAGGGUCCUUUUGUCAAGGCUGGAAGCCUCUGCCGGAUACUACCUCUUGUCCAAAUACUGUUUGAUAUCAAAGAACCAGGGUUUACCAUCUGGCUCUUCUGCUGUAGUCAGGCAAUGAGCAGGUUCAUCGAAACGCCUAAUUUCAAUAUGAGGCUGAUGGUUGGGCCAUAUCAAUUUGUACAUGGAGGCCAUAGUGGCUAAGGCAUCUGCCAUCUGAUUCUCUUCUCGAGGAAUAUGAGAGAAAGUGAUUUCGUCGAACUUUAGGAGUAACUUUAGCACAUAAUCCCGGUAUGGAAUUAGGUUAGCAUGUCUUGUUUCCCAAUCGCCUCUGAUUUGAUGUAUGACUAGAGUGAAGUCCCCGAACACUUCUAGUAUCUUGAUCUUCAACUCAAUAGCUUCUUCCAAUCCUAGUAUGCAAGCUUCAUACUCAGACAUGUUGUUUGUGCAGGUAAAACAUAGCUUUGCAGUGAAUGGUAGAUGGAAAUUCUUUGGAGACAUCAGCACUGCCCCAAUUCCAUGGCCUAUUGCAUUUGAGGCACCAUCAAACGUGAGCAUCCAGCCUGCUCUUGGCUCGAGGCUUUCCUCUAGUUCGAAUCUUCAACACCCUUAACAGCCAUGAUGUUCUCAUCUGGAAAGUCAAAUUUCAAAGAUUGGUAAUCCUCCAGUGGUUGGUGAGCAAGAUGGUCUGCUAGUAUGCUUCCUUUGAUCGCUUUCUGUGCAACAUAUUGGAUAUCAUAUUCUGACAACAACAUCUGCCAUCGAGCAAUCCUACCAGUGAGAGCUGGUUUCUCGAAUAUGUACUUGAUGGGAUCCAUUUUAGAUACCAGCCAAGUUGUGUGAGAUUAGCAUGUACUGCCUGAGACGCUUAGCAGCCCAUGCGAGUGCACAACAAGUCUUCUCGAGUAAUGAAUAUCUGGUCUCACAAUCAUUAAAUUUCUUGCUCAGAUAAUAGAUGGCAUGCUCUUUUCUGCCAGUCUCAUCUUGUUGUCCCAAUACACAACCCAUGGAUUCAUUGAGCACGGUUAGAUACAUGAUGAGAGGUCUCCCUUCGGCAGGGGGCAUUAGAAUCGGUGGCUCUUGCAAGUAUUCUUUGAUUUUAUCGAAGGCUAUUUGAUAGUCCUCAUUCCACUAUACGCCUUGAUUCUUCCUCAGAAGCUUGAAUAUUGGUUUGCAUGUUGCAGUAAGGUGAGAGAUAAACUUGGUGAUGUAAUUUAGUCUCCCCAAGAAACCACGAACCUCCUUCUCAGUCUUUGGUGCAGGCAUGUUCUGAAUGGCUCGAACCUUGUCAGGAUCUACUUCAAUUCCCUUUUAGCUUACAAUAAAGCCUAAAAGCUUCCCAGGUCGAACCCCAAAUGUGCAUUUAUUAGGAUUAAGUCUCAACCUAAACUUCCUCAAACGAGCGAAUAGUUUCUCCAGGUUGGUGAUGUGCUCUUCUUCUGUAUGGGAUUUGGCAAUCAUGUCAUCGACAUACACCUCAAUCUCUUCAUGAAUCAUGUCGUGAAAGAGAGUUACCAUGGCACGCUGAUAUGUUGCCCCAACGUUCUUUAACCCAAACGACAUUACUUUGUAACAAAAGGUUCCCCAAGGGGUAAUCAACGUGGUCUUCUCCAUGUCUUCGGGAUCCAUUUUAAUUUGGUUGUAUCCUGAGAAACCAUCCAUAAAGGAAAACACGGAGAACUGAGCUGUGUUAUCCACCAAUACAUCAAUGUGAGGUAAUGGAAAAUCGUCUUUGGGACUAGCUCUGUUUAAGUCUCGGUAGUCUACACACAUGCGGACUUUUCCAUCUUUCUUCGGCACCGGUACAAUGUUGGCAACCCAUUAUGGGUAUUUAGCGACUUCCAGGAAACCAGCGUCAAACUGCUUUCUCACCUCUUCUCAUAUCUUGAGAGCCAUAUCUGGUCGAGUUCUUCUUAGCUUUUGUUUGAUAGCAGGGCAUUCUUCUUUAAGGGGAAGCUUGUGGGUCACGAUAUCAGUAUCUAAUCCGGGCAUGUCUUGGUAUGACCAAGCAAACACGUCGUCAUAUUCAUGGAGGAGCUCUAUCAGUCUUGUCUUCACUGUAUCUUGAAGCACUGCGCCUACCCUUACUUCUCUCUUAUCUUCUUCUAUUCCCAGAUUUAUAACUUCAACGUCUUCCUGGUGUGGUUGAAUGACCUUUUCUUUUUGUCUGAGUAAUCUGACCAACUCUUCAGGGAGUUCGCAAUCUUCCCCCACUUCGUCUUCACCUUGGUAGAUUGGAUAAUCAAAGUCAUAUUGGACCAUAGCAGUGUCCUUAUCAACGGUCUCGGUGGUGUUUUUGCAUGUUAUGAUUUAUGCAGUUUAUAUAGAAAGUGCGUGCAUAAAAAUUGAUUGCCAUUUUCGUAAAUAGAUCAAAACGAAGGAAAAUGAACAAAAAUUUGAAUGCAAAACGUCAUUUCAUUAAUGAUAAAAACUCUUGAAAAAGAUAAAGAAGGCCCUACAACAUGCCAUUGUACCUUGGGAAGAGCACAAGGUUUUAUCUAAAAUGAUCAAAUUACUUUUGAAAUAUUUGGGGAACUUCCACAACCUUCCAGUUUGUUAGUUCUUCAUUAGGUGAGGUUUGACGCAUCCAGCUGGACACCCCCUUCUUGCGGUCUUCUUCACUGAUCAUUGCCACCUGCUUGCCAAAGAUGUGGCCAGCGCUGGUGAACGUUUUCUUCACAGAUGGAAUCUUCUCUUUGUCAGGUUGGUUACUGGCUUUGUCUGAUGAUGGGUCGUACCCCAGGCCAAACUUAUCUCGUUUCUCUUUCACUUCCACCACUUUGCCCCAGUCUUGAGCAUCUUCACUUUCCAUAACAACUUUAGCUCCUUGCCACGAGGCCAUGGAUGGUCCUGAUUUCGGGAAUUCCAAGGUCUGUUGGAUGGCCAUCAUGUUUACCACUUCUAAGGAUUGGGAUGGUGUCUCAGUGAUUUCACCAUCCACCUCGAUAUAUCGGAAAGAUGUCAAGUGACUGACCAAGAUAUCUUCUUCUCCUCCAACCACAAUCAUCUUGUCAUUUGUAAUGAAUUUUAGUUUUUGAUGCAGAGUGGAGGUGACAGCACCUGCGGAGUGAAUCCAGGGUCUCCCGAGUAAGCAACUGUAACCAGGAUGUAUAUCCAUGACCUGGAAUGUGAUAUUGGAGAUAGUUGGACCUAUCUUGGUUGGUAAGUCAACCUCUUAUAUCACUGCUCACCUUGAGCCAUCAAAUGCUUUUACGAUUAGGGUGCUGGGCUUCAUACUUAUCCCUUCUACUGGCAGCUUUAUCAAAGUCGUCUUUGGCAUGACGUUCAAUGAGGAACCUGUGUUUACCAACACCCUUGACAGUAUAGUAUCCAUGCAUUUCAAAGAGAUGUGGAGAGCCUUGUUAUGGUUCUUUCCUGCAAUCGGUAGUUCGUCAUCAUUAAAACCUAAGAAAUUUCCAGUAGUCACACAAGCUAUCACGUCAUCAAACUGUUCUAUUGUUAUGUCCUUUGUGAUAUGAGCGGCGCUCAAUACUUUCAACAGCGAAUUCUUGUGCGCUUCUGAGUUGAGCAGUAGAGAUAACAUGGAAAUUUUAGAAGGUGUUUGGUUUAGCUGAUCCACCACCUUAUAAUCACUCUUCUUGAUUAUUCUCAAGAACUCCUCAGCUUCCUCACGAGUGACAGCAACUUCAGAUGACAGGUGCAUGUCUUGCAUCCCCUGAUUAGGGAUGGGGAUCUGGACAGCAGCCUCCUUCCCUUUAGCUCUCUCAGAAGUAUCAGCAGUUCUUGGUGCGAACACCCGGCCACUGCGCGUCAUUCCUGCUGGCCCCAUAAUUGAAGUGACAUUUGGUUCAUUAAUCAUUAAAGGUUUAUCUUACUGCCCCUACUUAAAAGCUCUGGGCUGAUAUAUCCAUGGGACUGCCUUCUCAUCUUUAUAUUCGAAUGGUGUUGGGAACUCUAUCACCAACGGGCUUAUAGGUAUUUCUACUUUAACUUCAUCAUAGGGGAUGUCUACCACCGCUAUCUCUUGCUGAUGCUUGUUCUUGACACGGUAAUUUAUCUGUAACUCGCCUCGAUCCAGCAUUUGUUGUAUAAAACUCCUCAACUCUUCAUUGUUCUCUUCCUCAACCAGCUCUUUCGGGAUCAUACCACUUUUCAGCAAUUGUGCUCCUAUCAUGGUGAUAGGGGUUUGAAUCUCUUCAACCUUACGAAUCAAUUUGCCUUGAUCACUCUCCUCAAUGGCAUUGACGGAAGCAUCCUUAUGCGUCAGCAUAGGGUUGGUGUUCACGUUCGGGCGUCUUGGAGUGAAAGAAACGGCCUUGGCUUCGAUCAAGUCUUGUACCCGAUUCUGAAAUACGAAACAGUUUUCCAAGGUAUGACCAGGUGCUCCCAUGUGAAAUUCGCAAUGGGCAUUAGCGUCGUAUCCAGGUGGAUACGGAAAAACAGUUGAUUUUAACUCCCUCAAUGUUAGAAGUGUAACACCCUUCUAAAAUACCCCAAUAAAUAAUUAAAACAACCAAACAUAAAUCAGAGUAAAUAUGCAAUUAAGGGUGUCACACUUGACACUUCACACCAUUUUCCAAAUAACUGGUCAUACUCAUUUGUUUAUCAAAAUAAAACAUUGCACAAUACGCAGCGGAUAUGCAAACCAUAUAAUCACUUUACAUGUAAAACUGUUCAACAACCACAAUUGAAAACAAGUAAAACAUCCCGUCCCGAUGUUACAUCUACCAGAGCAUGACCCACUAAGGAACUACACUAGACUCCAAGCACUAGCUUCUACUCAAUCACUGCUCGUUACCUGAAACAUAGUGUAAGGGUGAGUUCCUCAAUCGAUAUAAUAAGCAUUAUAAAAUAUCAUGUAAUGCUAAGUAAAUGAACACAUCUCAUCACCCUAAUCAUAUCACACAUUCAGUAACGGCAACAUCAACUCAUACUCAUAAUCAUGCUCAACAUAAACAUCAAAACACACGUAUAAUAUUGGAACACAUCCAUUCAUAUUAUACACAAUACAUACAUUAUGCAAUGAGACUCCAUGCAUGCGGUACCGACUAUUCGUGAACAUAUAGUUCAACCUCACCGAUCAAAUCCAGAUACGGCUACCAAGCUCACUAGUCCCACUCAUUUGAGACCUAGUGACUCACNNNNNNNNNNNNNNNNNNNNNNNNNNNNNNNNNNNNNNNNNNNNNNNNNNNNNNNNNNNNNNNNNNNNNNNNNNNNNNNNNNNNNNNNNNNNNNNNNNNNNNNNNNNNNNNNNNNNNNNNNNNNNNNNNNNNNNNNNNNNNNNNNNNNNNNNNNNNNNNNNNNNNNNNNNNNNNNNNNNNNNNNNNNNNNNNNNNNNNNNNNNNNNNNNNNNNNNNNNNNNNNNNNNNNNNNNNNNNNNNNNNNNNNNNNNNNNNNNNNNNNNNNNNNNNNNNNNNNNNNNNNNNNNNNNNNNNNNNNNNNNNNNNNNNNNNNNNNNNNNNNNNNNNNNNNNNNNNNNNNNNNNNNNNNNNNNNNNNNNNNNNNNNNNNNNNNNCAAUUCAUAACAGUGUUAACCGGUUAACACCCUGGGUUAACCGGUUAACGCAAGACAGAAAGCUGUUCCUGCGCUAACACGAAGCAGAAUGCAGAAUUCUCCGCAUUUUCCGCCGUUGGAGGACUUCCGGACCUCCGAUUCCAAUUCCGUAAAAAGCUACACUUUCGGAAAAUCACAACUCACCCAAAUAUAGAUUCAAUUACAGCUUUAACAUAACUUAUUCAUCACAACUUUUCAGCAUUCAACAUCCCAAUUAGGGUCAAAUCAAUGGCUUAUCACUACCCAUUACAUGUUAACCCAUAAUACCCAUUAAACGACGAUAAACCCCCCUUACCUGAGUUAAUCCGGCAAUCCUUUAGCUUCAAGCUCUUCCUUCUUCAACCCUCUUCUCCUGCUCUUCCUCUUUGCCCUUUUCUCACUUUUCUGUCGCUUUCCCUUUUCACGUGAAAAAAACUUUCUUUACCAAAUGGAACUCUCUUUAUAUAUAUUCCAACUUAUUAUUCCAAUUAUAAUAAUAAUUCCAAUAAUAUUCCAAUAAUAAUCCAAUUAUUUAAUUAAAUUAAUAAAUAUACUAUUAGCUUAAUUUAAAUAAUUAUCAUAUUUUAUCGGGGUGUUACAAGAAGGCCCUCCUUCUGCAGAUAUGGGAAUAUUUGACUAUAAGGUACUGGUAGAGGAUCAAGUUGCCUUCUUGGAGGUCUUGGCUUGAACUGUCUUGGUGGUGCGGUAUUUUGCUGAUGAUGAUGUUGUUGAUGUUGUGGCUGAUACAUUUGUUGUUGCUGUAUUGGCUGUUGAUAGGGUAUGGGUACCACGACGACGACUUGGCCAUAUGAAGCCUGUUGCUUCCCUUUAUAGUUUUUGGAUAUGGCGUUUGUUUCGCCUUCUCUUUUCUUCGGGAAACCUCCAGAAUAUUUCUUUGGUGCGCUAGGUGUUGUCACUACUCUUGGAAUCUUUCCAUCCCUCAACCCCUUCUCUAUGCAGUCUCCAAUUGUGACUAGAUGUGCGAAGUCAGAUGCUGCACUACUCACUAAUCGAUCAAAGAAUGGGUCCUUCAAGGUGUCCACAAAUAUCCCGGUCAUUUCCUUCUCAGACAAUGGUUGCUCUACCUGAGCAGCCAACUCUCUCCAUCGUUGGGCGUAUUAUUUGAAUGACUCACUCUCCUUCAUAGCCAUCCCUUGCAACAGUAUUCAGUCGGGUGCCAUAUCUAAGUUAUAUUUGUACUGACGGAGAAAUGCGUCAACCAAAUCCUCCCAACUUUGAAUCCGCUCCUGUUCUAAGCUCAUGUACCAUCUCAGAGAUGCUCCACUCAGACUGUCUUGGAAACAGUGUACAAGUAGUUUGUCGUUUUCGGUAUGAGCAGCCAUUUUCCUGAAGUACAUUACCAGGUGACUUCUUGGACAAGUCUGUCCUUUGUAUUUCUCGAUAUCAGGAGUUUUAAAUUUAGCCGGGAUGACUAAAUUCGAUACUAAACGCAUGUUCAUGGCAGAAGCACCGAAGAUAUUGUUUCCUUCUAUGGCUUUGAUCUUCUUUUCCAGGGCACGGAGUCUAUCUGCAGCAGGAUCGGGAAGUAUCUUAGGUUUUGGUUGAUCAGGCAUAUAGAAUGCAUCAUACUGAUCAUCUCCAAUUUCGGAUCCAUGAUGAGUAGACGUAUCAGAAGGUUCUGCACGGUCUCCAUCUCCUUUGCCUCCUACCGGUAUCUGAACCAAUCUCUUCUUGGCGGGGACAUAACUUUCGUCUUGGGGAUUCGGACCUGGCGCGCCAUCAUUCCUUUUUGCCCUAGCUUCUUCCUCCUCGCUCCUCUCUCUCUGAGCGAUCGCAAGCAUUGUCUCCAACAGCUGAUCCAUCUUCUCCUGGAUCGUAUUGAUGUCUGUCCUCAUGGUAACCUGGUUGGCCUCCACUUGCUCUAAUGUCAUCUUGUAUUUGCUUCGCGUCUCGUAUCGGUGUUGAUUAGUCAGUGUGGCUGGAUAAAGGGUAAAAAGGUUGGGUAAGUUUUUGAUUUUUAUGAAGUGUGAUGCAUAAUGAAGAUGCGAAUGUUAUGCAUAUUUUAUUUCCAAGGAGUCAUUUGAGUUUCAUUAGUUGUUAGUAAUUCGAAGAAACAAAGAAUACUUAGAAUAGCAAUAAUGGAGUAAUUUUUAAACGUCAUUCAUUCCCAUACAUAACAUAAAGGUCCAAAAAGGUCAUAGUUUAAAAGUACAUUUGUUAAAGAAACAAAAUACAAGACAUAUGUAAAUUAAACAGCCGGCUUUCUGGCCUGAAGCUCUUCUAGUUCCUCAUUGAAUCUCUUCAGCAACCCUUUACAGAGCAGAAUGAAACUGAUUAUGGCUGGUGGAGUGUUAUCUUCUUUCAACUCUUCGACUGCGUCUCUCAACCUCCAUGGUAGUUCUUUAGCCGCCCAAUUACAGAAUCCUACUAGCCCAUCCAGUUUUGCACGAAACUUAUCCCUAUCUCCCUGUAAGAAGUCUCUGGUCUUCUUAAAGGAUUCAUAAUCUUCAAUCACAUAGUCUCGCUCUUUCAACCAUAUGGAGUUGUCUUGGCGUAAUGACUCUAGCUGGUUCUUCCAAUAGCUGACAGAUUCCCUUUUACUUCUCGCCACUUCUUUUCUUCCAUAUCAGAGGUGACACCUAGAAGCUCAGUGACUUAUUCUUGAGUCGGACUCGCUGACUUACUUCAGCUUUGCAUGACGAACAAAAUGGUGAGUUCUUUAUCUGUCCCAAGUGUAUCCCUUAUCAUCUUGUAUAUCCUUGUGGUAGAUGAACGAACGCAACGCUCAUUGUCUUGACAUUCUUUCUGAGCUUGUCGUAGUUGACCCUUAAGAGUAUCCAAACAAUGAUCAGCUUGUUCUAAUCCCACUUUGAUCUUCUUUCUCUUAUGCUCCUCCUUGUUGAACUUUUCCACGUGGGCUUGAAGUUGUGCCUCUUUUCUCUCGAGCUCCCAAUUCAUAUUAUUUUUCUCAUUGAUGGUUUGUUGGAGUUUUAUCUGCAGCUCUUCAUUCUCUUUUUCUAGCUUUGCCAUGGUGGUCUUGAGUUCCUCCAUUUCUUCAAUAGGGACAUGGGUGAGCUUAGGUUCAUGAAGAGGUAUAGGUGUCCGAAUGACAAAAGGCAUUUUAAUUAUCUGCACCCUUUCCUUUACCCACUGAAAAUAUGGUUCUUUUGUAAUCCCAUUUUCUCUCCCUAACUCAGUUUUCCCUUUUCGAUUGAUAUUUUUCCAAGCUUCUUUGAUUCGCUGGAAUAAGCUAGGAUUCUCAGCCCCAAAGUCAAGUAACAAGAACGCUUCCAAAGAAUUUACCUCUGGAGGGCCUUCCAUUGGGUAACCGAGUUGUUUGAGUGAUAGAACUGGAUUAGCAUUUACACAUCCUUGAGUUCCAAUAAGCGGUAGAUUUGGGAACUCUCCACAACUGAAUAUGAUAUCCAUGUUGAUGUAUUCUUUGGAAUACCAAGAGAGAUCUUCAGAUUGGAGUGAUCCCAAUCUUUGAGGCCAACUAAUAUCCGUUUGUUCAACCUAAGCACAUGUCUUCGGAAGAUGUUCUAGGAACCACUGAUACAAUAGAGGAGCGCAACAAGCAAUCAAUCCCUUCUUCUUAGUAUACCUAUGACUUAUGUAAUAAUAGACAUUGGCUAACAAAGUGGGUACUGGGUUCCCAGUAAGGAAAACACAAAUGGCAGUCAUGUCUACGAAACCAUCCAUAUUCGGGAACAGGACGAUGCCAUUGAUGGCCAAUGCAAUAGCAUAGUAAUAAGCAUCCCAACUUUUUGCCUUCAAUAUGGUAUGAGCUCUUUCCAAAAGAAAACUUAGUAAAAAUCCUUUGGUAUUCCCUUGGUCUCUAAGUUAUCUUUUGCUUCCUUUUCAUUCAUGUGAAGCGCACUAGCAAUGACCUCAAGGGGCAAAGAUUCAUCUGUCCCUUCAAAUAGUGACUUGUUCUUCAUAGGAAUCCUAACAAGACGCUCAAAUUCUUCCAACGUUGGUGCUAGCUGGAAGUCUUGGAAUGUGAAGCAUCUUAAAGGUAAGUCAUAAAAAUGGGCUAAAGUGAUCAAGGUUGUAUGGUCCACUUGUUGAUUAAGGAUGCUGAGCAAAUUGCUAUAAUUCUUUCCAAAGUUGAUUCUGUAUACAAGGUGCACCUGAGAGACCAAGUUACGUAAGUUCUUCAAAUCGGGAUCCUUGAACUUGAAGGAGUAAAUGUCUCUUUUGCUUGAUUCCAUGUUUCUUGAAUUCCUGCAACUCAUGAUACUCAGAUUCCAUGGAAAUAAAAUAGUAUGAAUCUUAUGCUAUGAAUGAUAUUAUGCGUGUCACAUGUAGGUUAAUAUACAGGUCAUGAGAGUGGGUAUUCUUGGUUACUAAACAAAACCCUUUUGGUAAAAUGCUAAAGGUAAGAGGUUCCCAAAGUCAUCAAUCAAUAUUUAAGAAAGUUAUUGUCAUGAUGAAAACUCAUCUGCUAAUAACAUCCCUAAACAGAGUCUCGUUUGGGUGAGGCCUUCGUAUGGUCCCAAAGAGGAAAACUCCUAGUGGGUCCAUACUACAUAGCUCCCGAGUCCAGAGUUCUAAUAAGGUUCUCAGAGUCAUAGAUCGAGGUUGAGAAUACCACUGUAAGGUAGUAAUACGCCCAAGGGAUCUCAUCUGAUUGGGGCUUUCGUAUUAACCCAAUAAGUAUGGGACUUUUCAGGUAGAUACUACACAACCACCGGAUAUAAUGGGUUAAAAGGUCCCCAUAGUCAUUGAUCCAACUUGAGAAUACUAUUGUCGUAACGAAAACUCGUUGGGCAAUAAUAUUUCAAGAGAAUCUCCUCUAGGCGGGGUCUUCGUAUCUUCCCAACAAGGAAGACUCCUUGUGGGCGCCCACUACGCAACCACCAACUUAAUCUUAUGGUUUUUCUCAGACUCGGGUAAUAAUAUUUCAAGAGAAUCUCCUCUAGGCGGGGUCUUCGUAUCUUCCCAACAAGGAAGACUCCUUGUGGGCGCCCACUACGCAACCACCAACUUAAUCUUAUGGUUUUUCUCAGACUCGGGUGGAGAUCCUAUCUCAUAAAGUAUCACCAACCAUAGAACCCCAAAUAAGACAUAAUCAAUAAAUGACAAUAUAAUAGUUAUGACAACAUAAUAAUAAUGGAAUAAAUAAUAAACAGAUAAACAAAAUUAACACACAAUACAUCAAUUGAACUAAAUUAGGCUUCACUCUCUUUUGCUUGGAGCUAGUCCCCAACAGAGUCGCCAUCUGUCGCAUCUCGAAAAAUACGAUUCCUCGCGAUGUUCGCGGAAAAAAUAAAUUCGAACAGAGUCGCCACCAAACUUUGUUUAUCCCAAUGAAGGGAUAGGAAAAUAUCGAUAAAACCUUUAGGAAAUGGAAUAAUAGUCGUCGCAACCAUAUUCAGGUUCGGGAGUGGAUUACGUAAGGGGAAGGUAUUAGCACCCCUUACGUCCGUUGUACUCAACGGGAACCUUUUAGUUCUAGUUUGCGUUUUGAGUGUUAAUUUAUGUUUGUUUGUUAUCUUUGGGUUAUGGAUUACGUAAGGGGAAGGUAUUAGCACCCCUUACGUCCGUUGUACUCAACGGGAACCUUUUAGUUCUAGUUUGCGUUUUGAGUGUUAAUUUAUGUUUGUUUGUUAUCUUUGGGUUAUAAAAUAUUAGAAAUUGAAAUGGAUGAGAACCUCAGAAAGGGAAAGGGGAGGUUUUUUAUUAAUGUGCUCGCGAAGAUACAACAAUCUCCUGCCUACGUAUCCUUAAAUAAGGAAAUAAGAGCAUUCGUAGUUCGGGGAACUACGGUUGGUUGGUGUCUUUUACCGAACAGCUGUUUAGAUCGCGUUCUAAAGGCUAAAUAUUGGCUUGUCUACUCUCGGCAGAGGCUUAAGCACUAGUUUGUUGUGCGCAUUAGAAAGGAUUAAAUGGUGUUCUUUGGUCACACUGGGGUGACAAUUUGAUAUGUUGGAUAUUUUGAUUGGUUGAGAUGUUUUUUGGUUGGAUGACGAUUACUCGGAUAGUCGAGUAAGACAACUCGUAUCCUAACAGUCGGGAAAGGGAAUAGAAGACUCUAGACCACUUUCUUUUUCAUCCUAAAUUAUAGGAAAAAUUAAUAAUAGUUAUGUUUUUGAAAGGAUGACGAAUACUCAGAUAGUCGAGUAAGACAACUCGUAUCCUAAUAAUCGGAAAAGGAACAGAAGACUCUAGACCGCUUUCUGUUUCAUCUAAAUAUUUAUGAAAAUAAGGUUGUAUAAGGUCGACGUAUUUUAGCCAGAACGACAAAUACUCGAAUGACUGAGUAAGAUAACUCAUAUCCAAGCAUUUGAGAAGAGGAGUUGAAAGCUCAAAACCAUCUCCCUUUUCGUAUAGUUAAGAAAGCGAUUUGAUUAAGUUGUAUGUUUGUGAAAAAUGACAAUCGUUCGACUGACCGAGUAAGAGAACUCGUAUUCAAACAAUUGGGGAGAGAAGUUGAAAACUCAAAGUUAUCUCUUUUUCCAUUUCAUUAUUAUGAAAGCAUUUUUAUUUAAUCGGGGUUUGGAAGUAUGUAGAGGAACGACAAUUAUUUGACUAACCCAGUAAGAGAACUUGUAUUCAAAUAGUCGUGGAGAAAAAAAUUGAAGACUCAAAGUUAUCUCCCUUUUGGUUUCUUGUUAUAAAAGGAUUUGAUUUGUUUGUGCUUAAAUGGAUUAGAAAUGAUGACCAUUUGACUAACCGAGUAAGAAAACUCGUAUUCAAAUAAUCGAGGAGAGGAGUUGAAAACUCAAAACCAUCCCCCUUUUCAUUUUCAAAUGAAGUGUUGUUUAAAUGUGAUUAAGUAUUUUAAUAAAAACUCGUAUUCAAAUAAUCGAGGAGAGGAGUUGAAAACUCAAAACCAUCCCCCUUUUCAUUUUCAAAUGAAGUGUUGUUUAAAUGUGAUUAAGUAUUUUAAUUUAACUUUCGAUGUCGGAUCGAGAUUUUAAAAUUUUCAUUUUUGUGAAUGAAUUGAAUUUAUUUAGUGAAUAAUCCAUCUAAUCGAUUAAUUAAAACCGAAUAGGUCUCAUUGUAAGAAGGCUCAAGAGUAAGCCAUGUAAGGUUGAUGGCGAUGCCUUUACAAGCGAUCGACUUACAGAGGUGUUUUGAAAAUGGGCUCAACUUUGAAUCGAGAAGUAUGUGAUUUAUUUUGAAAUCGGCUCAGAUUAUUUUAAAAUCGAUGAAAGCGACAUGAUUUUGUCACAAUUAUAACAUGUCAUUUCGUUUACACUCAAGGUUCGAUAUAAACAAAUAGAUAAAGAAUAAUCAUGCACAUACACUCCUCAAGAUAAAUAAACAUCUAAAUUAUGAAGGACAUUUGUGAUUCUAUAAUCAAUUAAUUAAUUGAAUGUCUAAUGAAUUAUUUUAUUUUAAUUAAAUAAUAAGUAAUAAUAAUAAAAAAUGAAUAUAACUAAAUGACUACAUAUUUAUUAAAUAUUAAUAAUGAUAACAAUCAUAUAAUUGUGUAUUUUCUUUUAAAAAUUAAUAAUAAUAAUAGUAAUAAUUACAUAUUUAAUAUAUAUAUAUAUAUAUAUAUAUAUAUAUAUAUAUAUAUAUAUAUAUAAAAUAAUAUUAACAAUAGUAUAAUUAAAAUUUCGAAAUAAGAUAAAUAAACCAAAGCAUUGUUUUAUUUUAAUGACCAAAGAAUCUAGUGUAUAUUUUUUAUGUAUAAAAAAUAAAGUAAAUGAAAUUACUUGAAGAUGCAUGUAAAUGGACCAAGGGAAACAGACCAAGCCCUAAAUGGGCGCUGCUGGAAGUUUUCCAGGAGGGGUGUCAUCAGUAAAAAUCGAAUAUGGGCCUAAAGCAAAAGAAGUCCAGGAAGGGUAUGGUCAACCUUGUUGACCCAGAAGACUCCCUCUCCGAACGGUGACAAAUGUCCAGGGCUGGUGACACUUGCCACCACUACUCCCAUGCUUCCCUUGGUCAGCUUUAAACAAAAAUAGGAAAAAAGAAGUGUCACUUUUCAAAAACCUUUCUCUCUCUUCAAUUUCCCAACCCUUAAAAAUGCUCUGCAACAAAGCUUCCUUCUCUCUGAUCAGUUCACCGGAGAAGAAGGCGGAGGGCGGCAUCCCGCGGCGGAGCCGCUGUCACUUUCCGGUAACCCUUCUAUACAAAACCCUAUCCUACCUAAAAUGAACCUUCUGAGUUCGAAUCUGGGCUCAGAUUUUCCAACAAAAGGCUCCACUCGUCCUGAUCUGAGGUUUCAACCGAAACCCUAAAACUACGAACCAACAACGACAAAGGUUUUAAGCAAAGAAGAAACGUAGAUUGGCGUACAACAGUGAUGUGAAAGGAAGAAGAAUACGAGAAAAGGAAAUACUACCUUGGAGUUACUCCGGUGGCCGCAAACACUGCGAAUCCAGGUAGAUAGCGAUCUCUUCUUCAAUAUCCUUCUCCUUCUCCUCCUUCUGUUUUCGUUUUGUUGUGAUGAUUGUGUGGACUGUAAAAGCUAUUUUUUCUUUCCCUUUUUUACGAUCUGUUGGUUUUUGAAUACUAUGUGUUUGGGUGUUCUUAACAAAAUUAUUUUUGGAUUAAUCUCUGGGAUUUCAAGAAUGUCUUCUCUGUUUAGUUUUUUAGGUUCGAAAUAAAUCUUUUUUUCUCUCGUCCCCUCCCUUUUGCUGUUAACUUAUGAUGCUUUUUAAUGAUGAAUUUUCUAAGUCUUGAAAGACUCUUUUCCGUUAUGCCUUUUUUUUCCAGAUUAUGUGGGAUCCAUUUUUGUAGAUUUGUUACUGUUUUAAACCAUUUUUGAAAUGCUUUUUGGAUGUUCAAGUUAGUCUUCUGGAUAAAGUAUUGAACUGAAUAAUUUAUUAGUUAUUCUUCAGUCCUUUAAGCGCUUCUAGAAAGGGCUUUUUCACUUAAGCCGUUUUUCUCUCUGCAAGUUACAGCGUGAAGUGACUUGUUUGAAUGGAAGGUUGGCUGCGUAAAGCUUCAGGAAAGUAGGUUCUGAGGCGUGCCAAUUCCAAAAAGGGGGGUUCAACCUGGUCAACUGGUUUUGAUCUUUAGAAUUUCGUUUCCACCAGCAUCAACUUUCUAUUCAAUUAAAAUGUAAUUACUUAGGUUUUUAGGACAAAUGUGUAUUUUGGACUGUUUGUAACCUAUUGGAUUAAAAUCUGCUUAUGUAAUUACCUUUUAAGCAUUCAAACCUUAUCUCAAUAUUUUAAUUAUGCUAAUCAAUUAAAGCAUUUUGAACUUUGUCCUUCUA
RNAcentral lists this long non-coding RNA (19627 nucleotides) under Lathyrus oleraceus (garden pea). RNAcentral describes it as "Pisum sativum (pea) long non-coding RNA (PSAT_LNC037335)". Lineage: Eukaryota; Viridiplantae; Streptophyta; Magnoliopsida; Fabales; Fabaceae. The record is from RNAcentral.